This 263-nucleotide unclassified non-coding RNA is filed under the name plant metagenome. Its description in RNAcentral is "partial contains small subunit ribosomal RNA, internal transcribed spacer 1, and 5.8S ribosomal RNA". The record is from RNAcentral.
UUUCCGUAGGUGAACCUGCGGAAGGAUCAUUAUUGUAUACCCGAGGUGCGAGGGCUGUCGCUGACCCGAAAGGUCGUGCACGCCCGAGUGCCCUCACACACAUCCAUCUCACCCCUAUGUGCACCACCGCGUGGGUCCCCCUUUGGCUUGUUCGGAGGGGGGCUUACGUUUUCACACAAACUUUGUAUGCAGUGUAGAAUGUAUUUUUUGUUUUUGCGAUCACGCAAUCAAUACAACUUUCAACAACGGAUCUCUUGGCUCUC